CUGUUUUCUACAGCCUGCAACCUGUUUUUUACAACCUGCAACCUAUUUUUUACUGCUACAGAUAUGUUUUCUACAGCCUGUAACCUGUUUUCUACAGCCUCCAAUCUGUUUUUUACUGCUAUAGAUCUGUUUUCUAUAGCCUGGAACCUGUUUUUUACUGCUACAGAUCUGUUUUCUACAGCCUGCAACCUGUUUUUUACAGCCUGCAACCUAUUUUUUACUGCUACAGAUCUGUUUUCUACAGCCUGCAAUCUGUUUUUUACUGCUACAGAUCUGUUUUCUAUAGCCUGGAACCUGUUUUCUACCAAACGGCUAACAAAGGCUUAGCUUUGUAGCUGUCAGGAUUUCUAUUUAAUUUUUUUUAAUUUUUUUUUAAUUUUUUUAAUUUUUUGUCCAUCACGCUGAGGAUUAUGUCUGAAGAUAACGACAAGAUGACGAUUGCGCAGGCGCGUCUGAAGGCAUAUCAGCUCAAUGUCUGACGACGACAAUACCUAACGUAAAGCUUAGCUAAGAUGAUAAUGAUGGGAGGUGACAACACACUGAAGGCGUAACAGCUCGGCCACCUAAAGACAAAUAAAAUGAUGCAAUCGCCUGGAAAUGAUUGGUAGUUCCAGAGAACCCGUGCUGAACGAAUAGGAGGCUGGAUACGACGAGGCCAGGUACCUACAUUCUUCAAGCCACUUCAGAAACAGCAGCAACAGUCUACAGGACGUUCUUGAAGAAGCAACGGUGAAGCGACCACUCUACAAGUAUAUUUGUUCAAUGAUUUGUGAAUUUGUGAGUAAUAUGCCAUACUCGUUUAAGCUGUGGUUCCUUGGAAGUGUGCCUUGUACCUACAUUCUUCAGUCCACGUCAGGAGCAGCAGCAGCAGCAGCAGCAACAGUCUACAGGAUGUUCUUAAAGAAGUGACAGCGAAGCAACCACAUGACAACUCUGAGAUUUUAAAAGGUUUUUAUAUCUGUUGGUUUGUUCCUUAAUACGUUCUCUGUCAGACCUAGGCUGAACUUUUGCUUUUUCAACACAAUUUGAUAUUUAAAAGAAUAAGUUUAAAGAAUAAGUUUACGAAUAACAGGGUUAAAGGACGAGCCAGAUAAAAAUCUAAAUGAUGUUGUAAAUAAAUUAAUAAACAAAAAGUUUAAAUUGAAUUUAGAUAAUUCAAAUUUUGACUGCAUAUAUCGUCUUCGCGGGAAUAACAA
This is a long non-coding RNA of Anoplophora glabripennis (Asian longhorned beetle), 1196 nucleotides long. RefSeq lists it as uncharacterized. The record is from RefSeq and is a predicted model, not a curated record. NCBI's taxonomy places the organism in Eukaryota, Metazoa, Arthropoda, Insecta, Coleoptera, Cerambycidae. The transcript has 4 exons.